RNAcentral lists this ribosomal RNA (682 nucleotides) under Streptomyces olivaceus. RNAcentral's name for it is "bacterial SSU rRNA". It matches the Rfam family "Bacterial small subunit ribosomal RNA", at positions 87 to 782 of the family's 1533-position model. The record is from RNAcentral. Lineage: Bacteria; Bacillati; Actinomycetota; Actinomycetes; Kitasatosporales; Streptomycetaceae.
GGGGAUUAGUGGCGAACGGGUGAGUAACACGUGGGCAAUCUGCCCUGCACUCUGGGACAAGCCCUGGAAACGGGGUCUAAUACCGGAUAUUGACCUUCACGGGCAUCUGUGAGGUUCGAAAGCUCCGGCGGUGCAGGAUGAGCCCGCGGCCUAUCAGCUUGUUGGUGAGGUAAUGGCUCACCAAGGCGACGACGGGUAGCCGGCCUGAGAGGGCGACCGGCCACACUGGGACUGAGACACGGCCCAGACUCCUACGGGAGGCAGCAGUGGGGAAUAUUGCACAAUGGGCGAAAGCCUGAUGCAGCGACGCCGCGUGAGGGAUGACGGCCUUCGGGUUGUAAACCUCUUUCAGCAGGGAAGAAGCGAAAGUGACGGUACCUGCAGAAGAAGCGCCGGCUAACUACGUGCCAGCAGCCGCGGUAAUACGUAGGGCGCAAGCGUUGUCCGGAAUUAUUGGGCGUAAAGAGCUCGUAGGCGGCUUGUCACGUCGGUUGUGAAAGCCCGGGGCUUAACCCCGGGUCUGCAGUCGAUACGGGCAGGCUAGAGUUCGGUAGGGGAGAUCGGAAUUCCUGGUGUAGCGGUGAAAUGCGCAGAUAUCAGGAGGAACACCGGUGGCGAAGGCGGAUCUCUGGGCCGAUACUGACGCUGAGGAGCGAAAGCGUGGGGAGCGAACAGGAUUAGA